CGUGUAGGCGGGAAGGAAAGUCAGAUGUGAAAUCCCCAGGCUCAACCUGGGAACUGCAUUUGAAACUCCCUUUCUUGAGUACCGGAGAGGAAAGUGGAAUUCCUGGUGUAGAGGUGAAAUUCGUAGAUAUCAGGAGGAACACCAGUGGCGAAGGCGGCUUUCUGGACGGUAACUGACGCUGAGACGCGAAAGCGUGGGGGAGAAC
RNAcentral lists this ribosomal RNA (205 nucleotides) under uncultured bacterium. Its description in RNAcentral is "partial 16S ribosomal RNA". It matches the Rfam family "Bacterial small subunit ribosomal RNA", at positions 568 to 772 of the family's 1533-position model. The record is from RNAcentral.